CAUUAUUGAUGUACAAACGUUAUUGAUACAGGAAGUGACAGACAGUUCUUCUGUUGUGUCAGAUCGUGUUCAAUAUAAAUAUUUGCAAUGUUAUUAAAAGAUGGUCAAGUAGACCUAUCACAUUGAUUGAGUUUGAACAACUUCUUCACGCACCUCCUUGCAAUGCUGACUUGCACCACGAAUGCUGUCUUCCCACAAAGGCGACUGAUGAGAGAGCAGUGGUGUAUUCAUGGACUGCCGGUGGUCUCCAGGGGCCGCCUCACCCCCUUCAGCUGUAUUAAAUACCUCUAAAGUGUAUAAUUGCUGAUCAGAGAGGCUGUUUGCGGCUGGUUGCUGGUUGCAAGCAGUGGAAGACACACAGCAGAGUGGUUCAUUCAAUGGGAGCAGUGGUGUCUCUUUACCAGGGCCUUUGUGUGUAGAACAGGUUGGGUUGUAGCAUUGUGGCUCUAACCGGCAGAGCUGACAUAGAUCCAGUUAAUAACUAAAGGCCCCCACUACACAGUGGGAUCCCUAUCUGCCUGCCACACUGACCUCUGAGAGGGGCUACCCAGGGGGCCUUGGUGUCCCUGUCCCCCAGUCACAAUGAGGGGCAUCCAGCAUCGCCCUGCAUCGCCCUCCACCCCCCCUGCAGACAGUGCACCUGCCCAGCUACCCCCCCAUCCCCCAGAGUGGUGUCUGUGUGCGGCCAGGGCCGGCAUUCCACUCGGACACUGAUGCAGAGUGACCAGAGUGACCGUUUCACACAAGCUGCCCUCCAGUAGAGCUGUGCUGGAGCCAGACUCAGGCAGGCAGGCCUGAGAGAACAGGGGACAGGAGGGGACACAGGAUGGACAUCCUUAACUGGAAGGCGUCAGACUUACUGGUACAUGUUUGUCUAGAAGGCCAUUUUAAGGCAGCUGCCAACAUAUUUAAGUCAUGGACAUUACUGUCUGAGAUCACACAACUCUAUUUUAUAGAAUGUUCCCAACACAAGAACUGAUUUUGGUAAGAGUGCUUUUAGCUUGGCUGCCCCAUCAUAUCGGAACACUUUGCAGAAGGAUUUUAAGACUCAAUCAUUUUAUUCUGAGUGAUGGUUUUAAAUCCCGGAUUGGAGGGCUGCUGUCCAAAGAUUGCACGUUUUUAAACCUGCUCUUUUUAAGUUCAGUCAGUCACUUUGCACUGUUUUAACUUCUAUACAUUGUUCUGUUUCAUGUUGUGCCGUGUCUCAUGUGGAACUAUAUGUAUGCUGCCCUCAGUCUUGGCCAGGGCUCACUUGAAACGGGAAAUGUCGUCUCAACGUGACCUCUGGUUAAAUAAAGGAAACAGAAAACAGAAAAGGAGAGAGACAGGGCAAAGGGAGAUAAGUCUCCACAAAGACAACAGCAGAGAGCUGCAACAAAGCUAGUCAUCAGAAUCACAGAAUGAAAUGCAAGCAAGAGAGAGAGAGAGAGAGAGAUACAAGCCGAUAUUGAAUAGCUAUUUGAAAUGACAACAGAGUUAUAGUUAUGCGUAGUGUUUAACACCACUAAACGAGUAGGGAUCAUAUGUGACUGGAAAUGAUAUCUGUUAAUGAAGUGAAGAAGAUUCACACCCUUUAGUUUUUAUUAUUAUAUUU
This 1594-nucleotide long non-coding RNA is filed under the name Salmo salar (Atlantic salmon). Its description in RNAcentral is "lncRNA (ENSSSAG00000106569.1)". Lineage: Eukaryota; Metazoa; Chordata; Actinopteri; Salmoniformes; Salmonidae. The record is from RNAcentral.